AGCGAGUGGCGAACGGGUGAGUAACGCGUGAGGAACCUGCCUCAAAGAGGGGGACAACAGUUGGAAACGACUGCUAAUACCGCAUAAGCCCACGGCUCGGCAUCGAGCAGAGGGAAAAGGAGCAAUCCGCUUUGAGAUGGCCUCGCGUCCGAUUAGCUAGUUGGUGAGGUAACGGCCCACCAAGGCGACGAUCGGUAGCCGGACUGAGAGGUUGAACGGCCACAUUGGGACUGAGACACGGCCCAGACUCCUACGGGAGGCAGCAGUGGGGAAUAUUGCACAAUGGGGGAAACCCUGAUGCAGCGACGCCGCGUGGAGGAAGAAGGUCUUCGGAUUGUAAACUCCUGUUGUUGAGGAAGAUAAUGACGGUACUCAACAAGGAAGUGACGGCUAACUACGUGCCAGCAGCCGCGGUAAAACGUAGGUCACAAGCGUUGUCCGGAAUUACUGGGUGUAAAGGGAGCGCAGGCGGGAAGACAAGUUGGAAGUGAAAUCCAUGGGCUCAACCCAUGAACUGCUUUCAAAACUGUUUUUCUUGAGUAGUGCAGAGGUAGGCGGAAUUCCCGGUGUAGCGGUGGAAUGCGUAGAUAUCGGGAGGAACACCAGUGGCGAAGGCGGCCUACUGGGCACCAACUGACGCUGAGGCUCGAAAGUGUGGGUAGCAAACAGGAUUAGAUACCCUGGUAGUCCACACUGUAAACGAUGAUUACUAGGUGUUGGAGGAUUGACCCCUUCAGUGCCGCAGUUAACACAAUAAGUAAUCCACCUGGGGAGUACGACCGCAAGGUUGAAACUCAAAGGAAUUGACGGGGGCCCGCACAAGCAGUGGAGUAUGUGGUUUAAUUCGACGCAACGCGAAGAACCUUACCAAGUCUUGACAUCC
Molecule: ribosomal RNA, 883 nt
Filed under: Faecalibacterium prausnitzii
Lineage: Bacteria; Bacillati; Bacillota; Clostridia; Eubacteriales; Oscillospiraceae
Description: bacterial SSU rRNA
Rfam family: Bacterial small subunit ribosomal RNA
Source: RNAcentral